UUCCCCAUUUCUUGGCCCAAGGGCAGCAGCCACCACCUGCCCAAUCCUCGGCCACCACCCUCCCGACCCUCGGCCACCACUGGCCGAACCAUCGCCGGCCACCUCUGCUGCAGUCGCCGGCGAUGGUAGUCGGCCAAAAGAAAGAGAGAAGAGGAGGUCCCUCUUCUUCAUUUUUUUUCCUUCCCAACACCCGAAAGAGCCCCCCUCUUCUUCUUCUUUCCAACCGAAGAUCCACCCUUUUUUUCUCCCAUCAUCAGCCGAAGGCCUUCCUCAUGGUGGCUCGGCCUCCCCCCCC
RNAcentral lists this long non-coding RNA (295 nucleotides) under Phoenix dactylifera (date palm). Its description in RNAcentral is "long non-coding RNA (PDAC_LNC005165)". The record is from RNAcentral. Lineage: Eukaryota; Viridiplantae; Streptophyta; Magnoliopsida; Arecales; Arecaceae.